RNAcentral lists this ribosomal RNA (208 nucleotides) under uncultured bacterium. RNAcentral's name for it is "partial 16S ribosomal RNA". It matches the Rfam family "Bacterial small subunit ribosomal RNA", at positions 122 to 334 of the family's 1533-position model. The record is from RNAcentral.
UAACCUGCCCUGAGUGGGGGAGUAACCAAGGGGAAACUUUGGCUAAUACCGCAUGAUACCGAGAGGUCAAAGGGGGCUCGCAAGGGCUCUCGCCAUAGAGGGGUCCGCGUCCGAUUAGCUAGUUGGUAGGGUAAUGGCCUACCAAGGCGACGAUCGGUAGCCGGCCUGAGAGGGUGAUCGGCCACACUGGAACUGAGACACGGUCCAG